UGGAGAGGGAAGCACCCGGAUCCGUGUUUAUACCCUUCGAUAAAUAUCAUGAAAUAACUGCGGCAUGGAAUAGGUGUCUAACUCCCACUGCAACAGAUUCGGAGUGGCACAGAACAGCAGAAAGUCUGCAGAUCCCAAAUACAUCUACCUUAUCGACGCAGAACACCUCAACAGUAGCUGGACAUUGGAAGCACCAGAGACAAGUUUGAAAUAGUCAAGCUGAAGGUCAAUCUGCAGAACCCAGGGGAGCGACAGGAAUGUACGGGGAAAUUCUUACAGCCAGACUCAAAAUCUUGCAGUGAGCGGCACUCCAUUAUGCAUUGAAGAUAAUGAUGGUUAUUUCUCAGCCAUGACAUCAGAAGGAAACAAUAAUUAGAACACUUGUGGAGUAUGUGUUCUCACCUUGACCUGGUUCCUUUAUAAUUUUAGACUUUUGCAGCAGGUUAAUUGACGUAAUCAGUGUAGCAGCUGGAGCAGGCCAUGCACAAUGGUGGCUCCUCCUUGUGGUUGGUGAGUAGAUCCGAUGGUGGUAGCAGCAGCAGGAAGAUCUUCUCGGCGUUCGGAGCUGGCAGCAGCGGCAAAGCUCCUCCAGCGAUCCGAGGAGGAGGCGGCAGCAGACGUUUCAAGUUGGUGGCGCUGGCAAGGCGACGUCUCGGAAGAGGGCAGCCGGAGUUGGACUCGUGGCAACAUGGUAUCGGUAGCCUUGUCUGGCAGUGGGGCCUGUGGCUCUUGGUUACAGUAGGCCCAGAGGGGUGACUCCUGGCAUUGACGGGGUGGCGGCUGCCUGGAGCCGGGACUCCCGGCAUCACCAAGGCAGCAGUGGAGCCGGGGAUUCCUAGUUGUGGGGUGAGUGUGUGGGUUGAGCCUCGAAACCAGCAUCAGCAUUGGCAGUGGCAUUGGUGAGCUGGUCCCAGCAGUGAAGAGAUGGCACCGAAAGCAUGGUGACUCCUUACUUCAGUGGGUCCAGUGCAGACGGUGGCAAGGCUGUGGUGGCACUGGUGUCAUUGGUGAGCUGGCUCAGGGAUCAGGGCUCUCCUUCAGUUAUAAACUUUAUCCUUGUUUUCCUUAAACUAGUCAAAUAGUGUCAGAUUGUGGCGACUGUAAAGCUUUUCACUAUUUUACUGUAUUAUUCACUGUAAAAUGCUGUUGUUGGUUCGCUCGUCAGGCUGGUUCAUUAGUUUGCAGACAAUUCUGUCUUUUUCUUUUGCAGUGGUGUGUAUGUAAAGUCUAAUGCAAUGUAUUUAUUGACGGCCUUCAUGGUGGACAAUGGGAAUUUCUCCUCUACAAGGAAAUAUUGGAAAUGUGGUAGCCAACUCCACUGGACCUUAGAGUUUGAAUAACAAGCAGGAAAAUACAACAACACUUCAUCGGAGGCUGCGCUGAUGAUGUUACCCAGCAGGGUAUUGAAACAUCUGCAAGCUAACAAAUUAGCCCUGCAAUCUAGCCAGCCACAGGAUCCACAACCCAAGUUACAGAUCUACUCAAGAACUUUAGACACCAACCGGUGCAGUGCAUUCAAAUAGGCCCGGAAAUGGGAAACUUACACCAAAUGACAGAGUUUUACAUGCGAGCAACUCUACUUGCUACACAGAUUCCUCAGGAACCAGGUAUUACCACACAGUGUGAGGUACAAACCUCCCAUCAACAACUCAUGGGCACAUAGGACAGCAGAGCACAAUGGCCGCAGAAUGGUGAAGAUAAUGAUUAACGCCCACAACCGGCUCCACAGAUAUGACAGGGAAGUUAUGUGCCAAAAAUCCCUAAACCUGGAUGUAACCAACCUACAGUGGACAACAGGCUAAAAACGAGCCAUUAACAUCAGUUAACAAAACACCAGACCAAGAAAAGACAAAUCCUACAAGAAAAACUAACCCACAAAAUGACAGCCAAAGAUCAGAUACAUGGAUAAGAAACCUGUCUGACAGAAAACUAGCAGACACAGAGAAAGCAGUUCUAAUACAUCGACUUAAUUACAACCACAGAAAUGACCAGAUCCAUGAACCAAUCAACAGGACACCUAUGGGGUCACUUAUCACCUAUCUCUGGACUAAUAGCAGAAGCGGUGAUGCAGAGACUCGAAAGCACAGCCUUUCCGCAGAUCCAACCCAAACUAUGGAUCUGAUACAUGGAUGACACUUUUUUCAUCAUCAAGCAGACUAAACUAGAAGAAACGCACCAACUUAUAAACGAUCUUUUCACCAGCAUCAAAUUCAAUAAAGAAGGUGAAAACAACAAUCAGCUCCCAUCCCUGGACAUGAUGGUAGAACACAGGGCCAACAGGGAAUUUCUGACAAAGGUACACAGAAAGGCCACACACAUUGUUCAAGCCCUAAAUUUUAACAGUAACCACUCCAACACUCACUGACGGAGUUGUGUAAAAGCUCUGUUCAAAUGAGCCACAACACAUUACAGCAACCUAGAACUACAUCAAAAUGAAGAGUACCUCCACCAAAUAUUUAGAGACAACAGAUACCCAAACAGCUAGGUCCGCCAAUGCCUGUCACACAACAGGAAGAUACAGUACGCCUGACAUACUUGUCACAUUAUCUUAUGUCAAGAGCGUACCUGAACUGACCAUAAGACUCCUACAGGUAGUGGACAUCAGAGUAGCACACAAACCUACAUCAACCCUAAGCCAACUGCUUACAAGAACCAAAGACCCCUUACUCACUAUGAACAGAACCAAUGUAAUAUACAAGAUCCCAAACAAAGACUGCAACAAACAUUACAUUGGACAGACAGAAAGGAAACUGACCACAAGAAUACGUGAACACCAACUAGCAACAAAAAUACACGACCAAUACUCACUCGUCUCCAUUCACAUAGAUAAGGAGAAACAUCAGUUUGAUUGGGACAAUGUCAGAAUCUUAGGACAAGCCAGAGACAAGAAUGGGAAUUUCUAGUGGCUUGGUUCUCCACUAUAAGGCCAUCAAUAAACAUGUAAAAUUAGAUCCUAUAUACACACCACUACAAAGAAACACCAGAAAUGAGGCAAUCAACCCCAACAGACCCCAGAGUUUAAAUCACAGCAGGAGAACACAACAGCGCUUCAUUGGAGGCUGCACUGAUGAUGUUACCCAGCGGGGUAAUGAAACAUCUGUGAACUAAUGAACUAGAUCAGCGAGCUAACCAACCACAGCAUUCACAACUUGAGCUACAAAUCUGCUCAAGAACCUCAGUCACUGUAAAAUGCAGGUGACAAUAAGUAAAUAGAUUGUUCAUUCAUUUUUAUUUCUUUCAGGGUAUUGUGUACUCAUUUCUGGUUGGAAGUGGGAGUUCAGGGGGAGGUGGAAAGUAUUUAGACUUGAUGCUACAACCAUCACGCGUGUGGAUCCUGCUUGGUGGAUCAAAUAGUCUUUUCCGGCCCAUCAGAUGUUCCAGUGAUGAAUUUAGUGCCAGGGAGAUGGCACCUGCUGUGGACCUAUUGCAAUGGUGGGUGAAUUAGUGUGGAUGAAGAUAGUCUGGAAUGCUGGAGCUGAUGUGUGCCACGAUCCACCUCUUGAAUUUGGACAGCACUUCAGCAUUGGAUAUUCUCGGUCUGGAAAUCAGUAACUCACUAGGGUCAUCACUUCCAACCACCAGGAGGUUACAAUUAGGAGGCAGAUCCCUCUUGCCUUGCCUGAGGAUGUUGAACAAUCCUUUUGAUGGGUUGAGAAGCCCUCAAGUUGGAAGGUACAGUCAGGUGAAGCAGGAUUGAGCCAUAGCUCUGUAAAACAGAGCUCACAGUAGUUUCUCAAUCUGUUGAGUCCAAUUUAAGUUCAUCCAGCCUGUUUCCAAUGGCUUGGACUUUUGCCAGGAGUAUGUUGGGAACGGGGAUCUUGAAACCAUGUUGUUUCAGUCUCAUCUGUGUUCCAGUCCACAUUUCCUCGGUAAAUGGUUGCUUCUGGUCAGGCCCAGGAGUCAAAGUGGAAGAUUUGUCAUUCCAGAAGCAAAAGCAAAAACUGCACAACAUCUGACUGCAACUGUGGAAACUCAGACUGAACCCAUGCAAACUCUGAAUUCAGCCACCAUGACGACAUAAGGCAGGAUGUCACUGCAGUUUAGCAACUCAUUAUUAGGAUUGUUGAGGAACCAUCCUGGUGGAGUGGCGCAAUGAACAUGAACCUGCUGUUUUUUUGUCAUUCCUCCCCUCACCUGAGCCAUAUCCUUAGCGUCUGCAAACCCCCAGUCAAAAUUGUCGUCAUCCAUAGAAUGUUACAUCUACAAAGGUGCUUUCAAUGGCCAGAGCUUCUCGAAGUCAUCUGUAAAACAGACAGGCUCCUUCUGCUGAGGUUCUGUAUAAUCAGGUCAUUUGAGAAUAGUUCUAGUGAUCGCACCUACAUCUUCCCAAUCACAAACAGUAUUUUCCUUUCUUCUUUUAAUAAUCAUCAUCUUGACUCCCUCAAUUGACUGUUCACAUUAUAACUGAUGCGAAUUGCAAAGUAGAAUCCAAAUUCAUGAGAGUUGAUAAUUACUGAGAGACAAUCUGACUCUAAUCACCUUUGUACAUGCUCUUUGUAUCUGUCUAAUAUGUACAUUUGGUCUAAUCUAAUGAUCCUUUGAGGUGUAACCCAGUGGCUAGACCUUGUGAGGUGUAAAGUCUGUGUUGUUCAACUAAAGAGACUGCAGAUGACUUUUAUUGAUGCAUUUAAGCAGAUCUAGACCAGAAACACCUCGUAAGAGACACCAUGCUGAAUCUUAGGCUUUCUUUCUUGUCUAAUUAUCAGUUUUGUUGAGUUUCAUGGUGCAUUUCAGCUCUGUGAGGACGAGCAAGUUUUCUUACAAAACUUGCCUCAAAAAUCACCUACCAGCCGUUUUCACAACUCUUUAGUCUGAGUCUAGCCCAAUUCUGCCACUCACAUUACUCAAAACAACUCACCACUGCGAGAUAUCCCAGAAUCAAUAGGUAUUCCUGGCACUAGUGCCAAUUUUAAAAGGCACCAUGCAAGCAGAGAACCAUUCUCAGCCCUACACAAGACUCAACAUUAACCCUAGACAUGGCAGGACAGGGAAAAUUGACCUGCUGUGUUCAUCCAGCCUCACAUUUUAUUAUCUUGGAAUUCUCCAGCAUCUGCAGUUCCCAUUAUCUCUGAUACUAUCUUAACCUCACUGCGAAGCCUCUUCCAGGGAAAAUUGACACCCUGCUUUGCAGGCAGGAACGUGGAGAGCCUGCCGAAUCGGUAGUGCAGAGGUGGGUGUCUUCUUCUCCCAGGACUGCAAGUUAAUGCCUUCCUGGAGAAGUGGAUUCAGGAUGAUUCAAUGCUGAUGACAAGCCAGGGGCAGAAGCAGGUCAAGGUAGAGGAUGAGGAGCAUCCGGCUCAGGGAGAUGUCACAGCCACAGUGUCCCCUGAAUUGUGUGAGAUCUACGAGAGGACCAAAGCUUUUUGGCUCUGACAUCAUCUCCUGGGGACGAGUGAGGCACAUUACUCCUUUACAGAAUGUGAUAAGCUAGUCGCAAGGUUGAUAGUCAGUCUGAAACAGCAGUGAUAGAAAUCAGACAGAUUACAUUUGGACCACCUAACGCCCAUUGAUGGAAAAUAGUCUAAUCUUCAAAUAAAGAAUCCACAUUAUUUUUUCAGCUAUCCUUGUGAGUAUUUAGCACAUUUACAUCUCAGUAGAAUGUAACUGACACAAGAGAUCUUCUGAUGUUCCUGUUUUUAAUGUUAACCCCCAAAACUGCAGGGCAGUUUUGUUUUGUUAUUUUGGAGUGACAGAGUAAGUCACGUGUAUACACUUCUUCCUGCUUAUCUUGCAGACUAAAGUACAUCACUCGUCCUGCCUUUAUGUUUUCAGUAAUAUCUUUAUUGUAUUGCAAUAUUGGGAAAGUUACAUGGAGCACCAUUUAAUAAAAUAUCAGUAUAUUACAAUGUAGAUUAUCUGAUACAUUUAUUGAAAAUUGCCAUCUUGGAAUCUUUAAAUUUUUACAUCAGAAAAUCCCAGUCGCUUCUUUGUAACAUAACUGAGAUCGUACUGUCCACUUCUCUCUAUUAUAACAGAGUGUCUCAGUCUCUGUGUUUACAGAUUUCAGAAAUGAGGAUAUGUUUCAGAAACAAUAAUUAAAAUACUUGUAUAUCUUGUAACAAAGAAGACAAUCAGUGAAUUACAGAAUCACGAUUUAUCAGCUUUGUGCACAAAAUAGAAAAUGUGCUUUUGAAUCAUGAGGGAAAUAAAUGAAUGUCACAUUAACUGAGACAUUUCUCACUGUUUGAAUUAAUGCCAACGUAUCUGGUGCAAAUUAAUCUGCAAUUUUUCCAAAAUGAGUCUGAAUAUUUGAACUAUCUUCAAGCAAAGUCAGCUUUCUGCAACCUGGUGAUCUGAUAUCAAUACUAUUAAUGGCAGAAACAGAUAAUUGCCAAAAAGAAAGUAAACAAUUAUUGAAGCAACAUUUUUUCGGUUACAUUGCUCGUAACGUUUGUAGAAGGUCUGAAACAACUUGUGUCGAGGGAUGUUUUUGUAAUAGCUUCUUCCCUGUUCCACAUUCUUGCCCAUUUUGUUUCACUUGCAGAACCAAGUUCUUAUGAACAUUCUUCUCUGUUUCAGCCUCCUCUGAUAUUUUAGAAGUUCCUUAAUACUUCUUCCAAGAGAGAUUUUGUAGCAGGAAAUGUCCCAAGGAAACACAUCCAAAGAGCUCCUUUGUAGGCUGGCAAGCCUGAGCUCUAUCUUAAGGGUCUACCUUUUUUCUUUAAAAAAAAUUCUUGUUUAGAAACAGCUAAACAUCGGAAGAGGCAUGAUAUAGGCAGAGCCAAGCAAUCCUAUAAAAAAGAACAGAUCAAUUAUCUGAACCAAAAACAGAAAUUGUUGGAGAAACUCAGCAGAUUUGGCAAUAUCUGUGGAGUGAAAGUAGCGUUAGUCCAGUGACUAUCCCUCAGACCACAGCAGUCCUGUCCCAUGCAGUCAUGAAUGUUGAUGGACAGUUCCAUAACUAGCAGGAAAGGGAGGCUGUAUGCACGUUGUAAAUUAUGAACGCAGAAGACAAGGCUGAAGCAUUUUCUUCUAACCUCUGUCAGAAGUGCUGAGUAGUCCUGAGUAGAUGACAUACCUCAGCCUUCUACUAAUGUUUCUACAUUCACAGAAGUCAGUGUUCAGCUUAUUUGACUUACUUCAUGUGAUAUGAAGAAAUUUUGAGUACAUUGGAUAUUGUAAAAGCCACAAGCAAGAUAAUAGCCUACUCCAGUGCUGAUGACAUGUGGUCUGAAGCUGCUUAUGCCUCUGGUAGCUGUUUUAAUCCAUGUAAAAUACUGGCACCCAACUGACAUUGUAGGAAAUUGUCCAAGGAAAACUAUUCCCAUUAAAGUCAAAUCAGAUUUGGUUCGGUAAAUUACCUAUUAGUCUUUCCUUAAUCAAUAGCAAUCUGAUGGAAAAUGUUGUAAACAGUGCAAUUAAGAGCAAUUACACAACAAAUGAUCUCCAGACUUAAUGGCAGCCCUGGUCCAAACAUGGAGCAAAGAGCAAAAUUCCAGUCAGGAGGUGAGAG
Long non-coding RNA from Stegostoma tigrinum, 7453 nucleotides. RefSeq lists it as uncharacterized. Lineage: Eukaryota; Metazoa; Chordata; Chondrichthyes; Orectolobiformes; Stegostomatidae. The transcript has 6 exons. The record is from RefSeq and is a predicted model, not a curated record.